Lemur catta (Ring-tailed lemur) is the source of this 237-nucleotide long non-coding RNA. RefSeq lists it as uncharacterized. The record is from RefSeq and is a predicted model, not a curated record. NCBI's taxonomy places the organism in Eukaryota, Metazoa, Chordata, Mammalia, Primates, Lemuridae. The transcript has 3 exons.
GUUCCCUGCUGCCUGCCGGCCUUGCCUCAGACUUGAGCGAGUGCGACCUCCUUGUCCUCACUCAGACGUGAGGCCCCGAGGGGAACAUGCCAUCACAGCACAAAGUCCUCUGUGGCCUGCCUUCAGAGUCACCAGGGUCAUUGCUGUGUGAGGUCUGCUACUUCAUGCUCCCACUGGAACAGCCUCCUGGCCCACAGCAGCAAGGGCUCUGGCCAUCACACAUGUGCUUGACACCUG